This 40-nucleotide small RNA is filed under the name Plasmodium falciparum 3D7. Its description in RNAcentral is "Pfa-rasR7666". Lineage: Eukaryota; Apicomplexa; Aconoidasida; Haemosporida; Plasmodiidae. The record is from RNAcentral.
UUAACACCUGCUUCAAUACCCUUUUGCAGAGCCGUUUGUG